This 225-nucleotide ribosomal RNA is filed under the name uncultured bacterium. Its description in RNAcentral is "partial 16S ribosomal RNA". It matches the Rfam family "Bacterial small subunit ribosomal RNA", at positions 109 to 334 of the family's 1533-position model. The record is from RNAcentral.
CGGAACACGUACACAACCUUCCGAUAAGUGGGGAAUAGCCCAGAGAAAUUUGGAUUAAUACCCCGUAACAUAUAGAGUAGGCAUCUUCUUUAUAUUAUAGCUUCGGCGCUUAUUGAUGGGUGUGCGUCUGAUUAGGUAGUUGGCGGGGUAACGGCCCACCAAGCCUACGAUCAGUAGCUGAUGUGAGAGCAUGAUCAGCCACACGGGCACUGAGACACGGGCCCA